Numida meleagris (helmeted guineafowl) is the source of this 476-nucleotide long non-coding RNA. The record is from Ensembl. NCBI's taxonomy places the organism in Eukaryota, Metazoa, Chordata, Aves, Galliformes, Numididae.
AGCUGGCUGCUUCUCAAAAGUGAAUGAAAAGCAGCAGAUCCCACUUCUAAGGAAAGGAUUUUCUCACUGCAGGUGCAGAUGCUGCGCUUCAGCCUUCCUGCCCAGAAAGGCUAUCUGUCUGAUCUGAAGAAGGAAAGAAGGCUGAAGAUUCAAGGCUGUUCUGUCACCUCAUCCUUCCAUCACCUGCAGUCAGUAAGGAUGAAGAGGAAUCCCAGAAUUGUAAUCCUUUACCUGAACCAUGAAAGCUUAACUAGUAGUAUAAAGGUCUCUCUACCACAGGAGCAUGAAGUGUGCUGGUUUAAGUGGAAUUGCCAAGUAUCUGCUAUUUUGCUUCAUACGAUCAGCACUGCUGGGUUUUAGUAUUGCCAUGCUUUGUCAGUGUUAAUGUAAUGGCAAAUGAUGAAGAUGGUCUUUGGCAGGAAACAUUGCUAGCCCUUAAUAAUAAACAAUUUCUGCACCUUAAAUUGCUGCUAUAC